UACGUAGGUGGCGAGCGUUGUCCGGAUUUACUGGGCGUAAAGGGAGCGUAGGCGGACUUUUAAGUGAGAUGUGAAAUACCCGGGCUCAACUUGGGUGCUGCAUUUCAAACUGGAAGUCUAGAGUGCAGGAGAGGAGAGUGGAAUUCCUAGUGUAGCGGUGAAAUGCGUAGAGAUUAGGAAGAACACCAGUGGCGAAGGCGACUCUCUGGACUGUAACUGACGCUGAGGCUCGAAAGCGUGGGGAGCAAACAGG
Molecule: ribosomal RNA, 253 nt
Filed under: uncultured bacterium
Lineage: Bacteria
Description: partial 16S ribosomal RNA
Rfam family: Bacterial small subunit ribosomal RNA
Source: RNAcentral